UCUGGGUGUGGUGGUGCACACCUGCAAUCCCAGCUACUUGGGAGAUUGAGGCAGGAGGAUCUCAAGUUUGAGACCAGCCUGAGCAACUUAGUGAGACCCUGUCUCAA
Molecule: small RNA, 107 nt
Filed under: Marmota monax (woodchuck)
Lineage: Eukaryota; Metazoa; Chordata; Mammalia; Rodentia; Sciuridae
Source: RNAcentral